Sapajus apella (tufted capuchin) is the source of this 260-nucleotide long non-coding RNA. RefSeq lists it as uncharacterized. The transcript is spliced from 2 exons. NCBI's taxonomy places the organism in Eukaryota, Metazoa, Chordata, Mammalia, Primates, Cebidae. The record is from RefSeq and is a predicted model, not a curated record.
ACUUGAAAAAGCUAUAAUUAGCAAAUAUUUAAAAAGUACUAUUAAUACUUGGGAGGCUACAAGCUGGUGUAUUUUUAUUAGGGGAUAGUUUGGCACCAUGUAUUAAAAGCCUUAAAAAUGUUCAAACUCUUUAAUAUAUAGUGAUUCCAUGUCUGUAUUUUUUCCCUAGGAUUCCCACAAGAUUAAUGUAUAAACAUUCAUCAUCAUAUGGUUUAUAAUAGGAAAAAAUUUUGAAACUACCUAAAUGUUCAAUAAAGGAA